UUUCCCUCAGGAUAGCUGGCACUCGCUCGAUAGGCGAGUCUCAUCUGGUAAAGCGAAUGAUUAGAGGCCUUGGGGCCGAAACGACCUCAACCUAUUCUCAAACUUUAAAUGGGUGAGAUCUCUGGCUUGCUUGAACGUUGAAGCCAAGAGAUGACGGAUCAGAGUGCCAAGUGGGCCAAUUUUGGUAAGCAGAACUGGCGCUGUGGGA
Molecule: ribosomal RNA, 208 nt
Filed under: Grasseiana boschmai
Lineage: Eukaryota; Metazoa; Arthropoda; Insecta; Hymenoptera; Pteromalidae
Description: partial 28S ribosomal RNA
Rfam family: Eukaryotic large subunit ribosomal RNA
Source: RNAcentral